This 76-nucleotide transfer RNA is filed under the name Bacillota bacterium. RNAcentral describes it as "tRNA-Ala". It matches the Rfam family "tRNA". From Rfam's summary of the family: Transfer RNA (tRNA) molecules are approximately 80 nucleotides in length. Their secondary structure includes four short double-helical elements and three loops (D, anti-codon, and T loops). RNAcentral also lists the same sequence under 3 other names. Lineage: Bacteria; Bacillati; Bacillota. The record is from RNAcentral.
GGGCCUGUAGCUCACCUGGGAGAGCGCCUCCAUGGCAUGGAGGAGGUAGCCGGUUCGAUCCCGGUCAGGUCCACCA